AUCAAAACAUGCUGGCAAGUGUUCCCACAUGAGAAAUGUCAAGAAAUUGGUUCAGAAAUAAGUGAAAAUGAGGGAGACUCAAGACAUGAAAGUUAAGUCUUGUACAUCCCUCAAGUGCAGUAGAGGAUGAAGUGAUAAAUAUUUUGAGAAGAUUUCCUCCUGUCUGCUCUUAUUAGCGCCCAACAUCUGUCAUAAGAAAAAUAUUCAACCCAGAUUGAAUGGUAGCCCAGUGCCACUGUAUGGGACCAGAGAAAC
Long non-coding RNA from Mauremys mutica (yellowpond turtle), 255 nucleotides. RefSeq lists it as uncharacterized. The record is from RefSeq and is a predicted model, not a curated record. The transcript has 3 exons. Lineage: Eukaryota; Metazoa; Chordata; Testudines; Geoemydidae.